UCCUGGCUCAGGACGAACGCUGGCGGCAUGCCUAACACAUGCAAGUCGAACGGAGUAAUGACUUCGGUUAUUACUUAGUGGCGAACGGGUGAGUAACACGUGAAUAAUCUGCCCUGUACGAUGGGAUAACAGCUGGAAACGGCUGCUAAUACCGUAUAUGACCACGCCGAGGCAUCUCGGAGGGGUGAAAGCGCUUAAGCGGUACAGGAUGAGUUCGCGUCCAAUUAGCUAGUUGGUGAGGUAACGGCCCACCAAGGCGACGAUUGGUAGCCGACCUGAGAGGGUGAUCGGCCACACUGGAACUGAGACACGGUCCAGACUCCUACGGGAGGCAGCAGUGGGGAAUAUUGGGCAAUGGAGGAAACUCUUUAACCCCCAGCAAUGCCGCGUGAGUGAUGAAGGUCUUCGGAUUGUAAAGCUCUUUGAUUGGGGACGAAUAAAUGACGGUACCCAAGGAACAAGCCCCGGCUAACUAUGUGCCAGCCGCCGC
RNAcentral lists this ribosomal RNA (490 nucleotides) under uncultured bacterium. RNAcentral's name for it is "bacterial SSU rRNA". It matches the Rfam family "Bacterial small subunit ribosomal RNA", at positions 17 to 518 of the family's 1533-position model. The record is from RNAcentral.